Molecule: RNA transcript, 2034 nt
Organism: Nymphaea colorata (pocket water lily)
Lineage: Eukaryota; Viridiplantae; Streptophyta; Magnoliopsida; Nymphaeales; Nymphaeaceae
Gene name: peptide deformylase 1A, chloroplastic
Exons: 5
Source: RefSeq, a predicted model, not a curated record
AAGAGAAGAUGGUAGAAAGUAUUAGUUGAUCUCUUGGAUCCUGGCUGAGUAAUUAGUAGGUGUUAUUCCGACAAUCACCAGCCAAUUUGCAGGAGACCCAUCGUUAUCCGUUUAUUGCUGAGGGAGACGUACCGGUGGCAUGUGAGGUGAAGGAUACAUGAGUGGUUAUCAUGGCGCGUCUUCUGACUGCGUCCGCUCGACUCCUUCCCGCCGCCGGCAGCGGCGAUGUUGAAGGCCAUUAUCGGAUCUUCGGAAGAGCCAGUGAGAGCUGUGCCGCUCAACACCGUCGUCCAUCUCCGCCUGACACUACCAUCCCUCCAUUCCUCAUCGCCCGCGAACCACCAUCCAUCAGAAGAAGACCCAUUUCGACAACGGGUAGAGGAGGGAGAGGAGUAAGAACGCUUUCUCCUCCUCGUCCUUCUCCUUCGAGAAACGUUCCUUCUGCUGGAUGGUUUCUGGGUUUCGGGCAGAAAGAAAUGGUACUGCCGGAGAUAGUGAAGGCCGGCGACCCGGUGCUUCACGAACCCGCGAGCGAGGUCGCAUUGCAGGAUGUCGGCUCGGAACGGAUCCAGAAAGUGAUCGACGACAUGGUCGCGGUGAUGAGGAAGGCUCCCGGCGUCGGUCUUGCUGCCCCUCAAAUUGGUAUUCCUCUGAAGAUCAUAGUUUUGGAGGAUACAGAAACUUAUAUUAGUUAUGCUUCCAAGGAGGAAACUAGAGCCCAGGACAGGCGGCCCUUUGAACUUCUGGUGAUUAUAAACCCAAAACUUACGAAGAAGGGUGACAGAACUGCAAUGUUUUUCGAAGGCUGCUUGAGUGUUGAUGGUUUUAGAGCACUUGUUGAGCGCCACCUUGAGGUUGAAGUUACAGGACUCGGGCGGGACGGCCGGCCGCUUAAAGUGGAAGCUGUUGGGUGGAAGGCUCGCAUAUUACAGCAUGAGUGUGACCAUCUUGAUGGCACCAUUUAUGUAGAUAAAAUGAUCCCAAGAACAUUCAGAACCGUUGAGAAUUUGAAUUUACCUUUACCCUCUGGGUCUCCCAAGCUGGGCGUUUGUUGAUUUUUCUUCAAGGAGCAGGCAUGUAUGUCUGACGCUAUAUUUUGUUGGAAGUGCCAUUGAUAUCCUUCUUGCUGACAGCAAGCAAUCAUGUAGCUGAUCCUGCAAAAUUACGGUAACAACCGUGGAAGUCAGCAAUGUGCAGCCAUUAGACCUUUGAAUUCCUCUGGAGUUGAUCAAUUCCCCUACGUUUCAGAACACGGCCGAGCGGAUAAAGAGACGCCUAUUUUGGCACCUUCUGCAUCUCCCUCCUCGCUGUCGCUGCUGUUCUUUCACUCCCUCUCUAUAAAAUUGACUUGAAUAGGUCCCUACUAACAUCAGUAGAUCAGAUCUAGCCUUGUUGGUGGUCGAAAUAGCCGGCAUAGUUGCAGCACCAUGAAGGAGAGCUUCGAUUUCUUUGCUCCGCCACCUCCUCCUCCUCCCUUUGACAUCUCGGAGCCCCAGCAGUCUGAGCCCAGCCCUCUCACCGCGAAUGCCAGCGAUAAAGAGAGUGGUCGAGUCGGGUUCGAGCAGAAGCGAGCAGUUGGUAAGCUCCGUGACAGCAGAGAUGGCAGCAGGUUUGGCACAGACUUCCGGAAGGCUACCGUGAAACCAGAAGAGGAUAUAGAUCAGUCUGCUGAGGCCUUCAUCAAGAAAUUUCAUACAGAGCUGCGCAUGCAACGCCUGGAGUCGAUUGAGAAUUACCAUCAAAUGCUAGCAAGAGGAACUUAAACAGUCUGUUGCUAUUACCAUCAUCACUGACAACAUUCAUUUACCUUGUGCAUAGUUGAAGAAUCAGUCCAGGAGUUGUAAGGUUUGAGUUUGUCAGGGGUUGGAUGGAUAGCUUUGAUUGUGGUUCUGUGGUCAGUUUGGAUUUUCGUUUCUUCAUAGGAUGUUCUUCAUGAACAACUCAUAUAUUUUCUUUACCUUGAAUUCUUUUGCUAGGAAUCCAUUCUUUAUAUAUGUUAUUACUUAUAAAACAAGUUCAUUUAGUUCUUGAAAA